ACUGCUCAGUAACACGUGGACAACCUGCCCUUAGGUUGGAUAUAAACCCGGGAAACUGGGUAUAAUACCCGAUAGGUCUCGAUUGCUGGAAUGCAUCGAGAUUUAAAGCUCCGGCGCCUAAGGAUGGGUCUGCGGCCUAUCAGGUAGUAGUGGGUGUAGCGUACCUACUAGCCUACGACGGGUACGGGUUGUGAGAGCAAGAGCCCGGAGAUGGAUUCUGAGACACGAAUCCAGGCCCUACGGGGUGCAGCAGGCGCGAAAACUUUACAAUGCUGGCAACAGCGAUAAGGGAACCUCGAGUGCCAGGUUACAAAUCUGGCUGUCGAGAUGCCUAAAAAGCAUUUCAUAGCAAGGGCCGGGCAAGACCGGUGCCAGCCGCCGCGGUAACACCGGCGGCUCGAGUGGUAACCGUUAUUAUUGGGUCUAAAGGGUCUGUAGCCGGCCGGAUAAGUCUCUUGAGAAAUCUGGCAGCUUAACUGUCAGGCUUUCAGGAGAUACUGUCUGGCUCGAGGCCGGGAGAGGUGAGAGGUACUUCAGGGGUAGGGGUGAAAUCUUGUAAUCCUUGAAGGACCACCAGUGGCGAAGGCGUCUCACCAGAACGGACCUGACGGCAAGGGACGAAAGCUAGGGGCACGAACCGGAUUAGAUACCCGGGUAGUCCUAGCCGUAAACGAUACUCGCUAGGUGUCGGCCACGGUGCGACCGUUGUCGGUGCCGUAGGGAAGCCGUGAAGCGAGCCACCUGGGAAGUACGGCCGCAAGGCUGAAACUUAAAGGAAUUGGCGGGGGAGCAC
This 793-nucleotide ribosomal RNA is filed under the name uncultured archaeon. Its description in RNAcentral is "bacterial SSU rRNA". It matches the Rfam family "Archaeal small subunit ribosomal RNA", at positions 85 to 879 of the family's 1478-position model. The record is from RNAcentral.